CUGAAGUCAGGAAGCACUGCGCGACUUUCCCAACGUCUGAGGACUGAGGGUUGUACCACUGCUAAGCUGGAGCAACUGAGUCAGAGCCAGUUCACAUGCUUGAGACCAGGCUCUGCUUCACUAAUUAUGGUUGUUUUUUCUCCCAGUUAUCAAGGUGGAAGCCCUUAGGUCCUACAGAGCUCUUUCUGCCAGUGGCUACCAUUGUGCAGCAGAGUGAGCCCCAGUUUCUACCAUGAAGCUGUGUCCACCACCGGAUGCACCGUGAGGAAUGCCUUAGGCUGCUGCAGGGAGCCACACAGAAGUGGGGAUGUCUAGCCAUUAAGUUCACGGUGCUCAGUUCAAGUUCACAGUCUAUCGGUCUGACUCCUGAGAUGACCUUGUGGUAGGAUGACCCAAGUCAUCUUCCCUUUCUUACGGACAGCUGAAAUGUUCUCAGGCAUCUUCUGCUUUUGGGG
This 455-nucleotide long non-coding RNA is filed under the name Bos taurus (domestic cattle). RNAcentral's name for it is "long non-coding RNA NONBTAT015137". The record is from RNAcentral. Lineage: Eukaryota; Metazoa; Chordata; Mammalia; Artiodactyla; Bovidae.